Acanthosepion pharaonis is the source of this 98-nucleotide non-coding RNA. Lineage: Eukaryota; Metazoa; Mollusca; Cephalopoda; Sepiida; Sepiidae. The record is from the annotation of a GenBank genome assembly.
GUUGAAACACCGGUUCCCGUACGACUACUGAAGUUAAGCAACGACGAUCCUGGUCAGUACCUAGAGAGGUGACCAUUUGGGAAUAUCAGGUGGUGUAA